RNAcentral lists this transfer RNA (72 nucleotides) under Ovis aries (sheep). It matches the Rfam family "tRNA". From Rfam's summary of the family: Transfer RNA (tRNA) molecules are approximately 80 nucleotides in length. Their secondary structure includes four short double-helical elements and three loops (D, anti-codon, and T loops). Lineage: Eukaryota; Metazoa; Chordata; Mammalia; Artiodactyla; Bovidae. The record is from Rfam by way of RNAcentral.
UCCUUUGUAGCUCAGUCGGUAAAGAAUUUGCCUGCAAUGCAGGAGACCUGGGUUUGAAUCCUGGAUUAGGAA